Molecule: long non-coding RNA, 7451 nt
Organism: Ictalurus punctatus (channel catfish)
Lineage: Eukaryota; Metazoa; Chordata; Actinopteri; Siluriformes; Ictaluridae
Source: Ensembl
ACGCACAUCAUCAUAACAACCUCACUCAAACCAAUACAGCUCAAACCAACUCAACUCAAACCAACUCAACUCACAUCAUCAUAACAACUUAACUCAGACCAACACAACUCAACUCACAUCAUCAUAACAACUCAACUCAAACCAACUCAACUCACAUCAUCAUAACAACCUCACUCAAACCAACUCAACUCAACUCAACUCACAUCAACAUAACAACUCAACUCAAACCAACAAAACUCACAUAAUCAUAACUCAACAGUUCUACUCGCCAACUCUAACAAACAGCUCAACUCCACAACAUAACAAUGAUUCAUCCUCUCAACCAACAGCACAACAACUCAACUCACAACUAUUCGACCCAUCGGAUCAACUCUAGUACAUUGGACCAUCAGGCAGUGCUUCACGUUUGGGUGGAUAAUGGUGGAUUGAUCUGGCUGUAGUAAUUCUACCCCUAGAGAACAUGAUGGUGGAGAGAGUAUUACUGUUAUUUCUUUCCUGUUUGUCUUGUUAAGGUUUUCUGACUUUUCACUGGGCAUAUUCUACUGAGUCAGCUCUGUUCAAGCCUGUUUAAGUUGCUUUGAAGGAUAAAAAGAGUGCGCAUGUGUGUGUGUGCACACUUGUCUUAAACGGAGGACAUUCUCCCUCAGCAAAACGUCUCACUUUUCCCACAUCCGUUCUUUUUCUCAUUCGAUACAAUGCCAUAUUGAUCUUCUGCGUCUAAUAAACGACGACCUGAAUACACCGGUCCAAUGUCCAGACUCAUCUUUUUUGCCAAAUUUCUGACACGUUAGACAGCGAACCAAACCAGGUAACAAAUCAUCAUGUGACAACCGACCGACUCGGAAAGGGACCAAACAGAAUCCAGAGCCAGGACGCUAAGGACAGCAGGCGCUGUAUAACAUUGUCUUCCAGAUCAACCAGUUCAUUUUUCAUUCUAUGCCUAAAUAAGGAAGUGACAGAGUAUGGGUUGUAAAAAGUCAGCUUUGGUUAAGGAGGCGUGGCCUCUGUGCCCGUAAGUGUCCCAUCAGAUCAUCGAUCAAGUUCCGCAUCAAAUCAUCUGGGAAAGCGACAUGCACCGCUAGAACAGAGUGUUCUCCGUGCUGCUCAUUUGCAUUCAGUCUGACUAUUUAUAUCUGCCGGAAUUACACAAGUCAAAACAAAGUAUUCACACACACUGCUGUGCUUUUUCCCAACUUACUAAGACUCCCUCACAGAGAAAACAUCACAAAAAAAAGAUGGUGGUCCAUCUGCAAGAUUCAGAUUAGUGGGCGUGUCUUGGUACCCGUGUAUGAACCCGAAGACACGCCUUUUCUAUGUUUCUGAGCAGGUCAAAUAAAUCCGUCAGUAUGAUAAGGUUUUCUCCUGUCAUUAACAAUAUUUGUGAAAAUACCUGACUAUUUCCACACCCGAGCUCAGAGACACACCUCACGUUCCCAUAUAUGGUCUCGGACAAUCCCACAUUUCCAUACAAGAACUCAAUAGACACACUCAAAUCUCCACAGGUGAACUGAGAGAUGAGCCAAUCCAUGUUUGAUUCCUAAGACACGCCCAUAUUUUCCAUAUAUGGUCUUCAAAUCACACCCAUCGAAGACGCUUCCAUUUCAAUAUAUGAGUUCCGAGACAUGUCUAUAUUAGCAUGUAUGGACUCACAUUCCUGCUUAUACGUCCAUGUCGGAUUUAAGUCUCCUCUAUUUUCAUAUAUAGACACAGAGUUUCAGAUAUUCCGCCAUAUAUGGACACAGUCUCAACAAAUAUACAUAUAUGGAUUCGGGUCCUGCCUAUAGUGCCAUAUAUGGACAUAAGCUCACCUAUAUUGAAGUAUAUAUAGACUCAAAGUUUCAGCUAUACUUCCAUAAAUGGACGCAACGUCCAGCAAUAUUUCCAAAUCUGCACUCCAGUCUCAAUUCUACUUCUAUAUAUGGACUCGAGUCCCACCUGGAUUUCCAUAUUCCGACACAGUCACACCUACAUUGAAGUAUAUGGACUCUAAGGUUCAGCUAUACUUCCAUAUUUGGACGCCAUCCUAUAUUUCCAUAUCUCAACUCUAGUCCCACUUCUACUUCCACAUAUGGACUCAUGUCCCGCCGGUAUUUCCAUAUAUGGACACAUAAAUGGAACUAUAUAGACUCAAGAUUCCAUACUUCCUAUAUACUAUAUAUAUAUGGACUAAAUAUGGAUUAAAGUCCCGCCUCAAUUUCCAUAUCUGGACUCCAAUGAUCAGCUAUAUUUCCCUAUAUGGCCUCAAAGCCCCGCCCAUAUUUCCGUAUAUGUACUCCUUUUUCUCUGAACGCCUAGAUGUCAAACUCUAAUUUUGUGCUCUAAACAUGAAGCUCCUCCCACAUUACCAUAAAACCCCGCCCACUCCGCUGACCUCCGAGCCGGCCGUUAUGAGAGGAAGGAGAAUGUUUGGCCUGUGCUGAUGGUGACAGACCACGCAGCUGGCAUGUAUGCGUCUGUGUGUGUGUGUGUGUGUGUGUGUGUGUGUGUGUGCGUGCGCUGAAAGUGCGAUGGUGCCGGGAGUGGGAGUGUGAACGAGUGGGAGUGUGACAGCUCGUGCAUGCCUGUUAAGCGUGUGUGUGUUGGCAAGUUGUGUUCUGUUUGAUUAGCCAAUGAUAGGGGAUGAAAGCCAGAUCAUCAAGAGGAGUUUGAUCAGCUGCGGAGAACACACACACUAUCAUCCACGCUGACACACACACACACACACACACACACACACACCAUCAUCUACUCUGACAUACGCACCGUCAUCCAUGAUGUGACUGUGACGAGAAAAAGAACUCGGGUUAAUGAAAGACCGAUUACUCAGUCUAAUUAUCCAUUCUCUCUCUCUCUCUCUCUGUAUAUCUAUCUGUUAUGUCUUUUACUUUAUCUCUCUCUCUCUCUCUCUCUCUCUCUCUCUCUCUCUCACUCUGUGACCUUGUGCUGUCAGCUGUUUUAACAAGGCUUAAACGAACACACCAGUUGUGUGUACAUGGGGUGUGCACUGCCCAUGUAGCAUGAGCUAUGAUAUGAUACGCUGGUACAUGCCAACACACACACACACACACACACACACACACACACACACACACACACACAAUUUCAGCGAAAUCAAUAUUUUUUUAUUGAGGAAUCCAUUAUGUCAAGAACUCUUGACGUGCACCUGAAAGGAAAGCAAGUGAAAGCAUCGGAGCGUCUCCGGGUUCCCGCAGUCCGCUUUCCCAUGAACCCUCACUGCGUCGCGAGAAUGCGGCAGUCAUAAUUUCAUCUACAGCCUCAAGUACAACCCUGAUGUCACUAUUACAACUCAAAAUGUAAUUAAAGAUCUAUAAUGAGCAAUUUGUGUAAUCUGGUCACCCAAGGAAAGCGUUAAAAACAGCUCGCCCCACUCACACACCACCUACGCCUUUGUUUGGCGUCUUGUUUUUUGCUGAAAAACCUCCUUCCUGCGAGCCUUUGAGAAGUUUAAUCACCUCUCCUUCUUUCUCUCUCUCUCUCUCCCUCUCCCUCCUUCUCUCUCUCCCCCUCUCCCGCCUUCUCUCGCUCUCCCUUCUCUCUCCCCACCGCUGUGCCGCGGAGUCGUGUUGGCGUGACGGGGUGGAAAAGGUCACUCCUGUUUCUUCGUUUUCGGGGCAAGUGGAGCGAGGGAAGAGGAGGAGCGAGGAGGAGGGCAGAAGCAGGUAGAGGCCUCUCUGCACUCGUCCGCUGUUCUGUCGGUUCUGUGGACCGAGCGCUAAUGGGGCGUCACGCUGAGCUGGCGCAGAGCACGCCUGCUGCUGCUGCUGUACAUUAUGGGAAACACACCUUCACACACACACACACACACACACACACAGAGAGAGAGAGAAGGCCGAUCGAUGCAGUAAGAGAUGCGGAAUUGCGCGCGUGUGUGUGCGUGUGUGAGAGGAAAAAACAGAGCCAACAGCAACACAAAGACAAAUUUGAUAUUUUUUUUAUGAUCCACUCGACACAAUUACACCACAGGAGCAUUUUCUCCAUUCUCAUGAUGUGUGUGUGUGUGUGUGUGUGACCCCAGUGCACGAUGUGUGAUGAAAUAUCAAAUCUCCACAAAGAUAUACACACGGUGUAAGACAAGAACAAUACAACAAAUUACACAACACACACACACACACACACACACACACACACACACACGCUCCAGAAGCGAAGAUGUACUCAUGGGAAAUAUUCGAUAGUCGUUUACUACUCAGGUGGCCGAUCAAUUCUCAAAAUAAUUAUGACAGACAAGUUAAUCUGCAGGAUUUCUACAAUCUCAACGGUACUCUUUCACUUCCUGUGGUUCCUGCUUCUCUACACAGACUCCGCCCACUAAAAAAAACUCGUGUAAUAUUCCUUUUCAGCCAGUUUUGUGAUAGCUCCGCCCAUCGGAACCUUUACACUUUCCCCGUUAACCCUUCGCCUAACCGAACCCUAGGUGAAAUAAAUUCCAUUCUAAUUUGGAGAUAUCGUUUCAGAUUGUCAGCCUCCUCAGCCAAUCAGAUUCGCCUCGUAUCUGGCCUCCAUUUACGCAAGCGCGCGUUUUACAUACGGGACGUCUGAGUCGGGGAGAUUAAAAAAAUAAAGUCAGAACUCGGCAAUUAAUCAUCGUUUGGUUGGAUAUAGUGAUACGGUGGGGUAGACAAAGAGCAUAUGGAGAGUGAGACCGUCAGAGUGAGGCAAAGAGUGAGACAGAAAGAGUGAAACAGAUACAGUGAGGUAGACAAAGAGCAUACGGAGAGUGAGGCAAAGAGUGAGACAGAAAAAAGUGAAACAGGUACAGUGAGGUAGAUAAAGAGCAUACAGAGAGUGAGACAGUCAGAGUGAGGCAAAGAGUGAGACAGAGUGAAACAGAUACAGUGAGGUAGAAAAAGAGCAUACAGAGAGUGAGACAGUCAGAAUGAGGCAAAGAGUGAGACAGAAAAAAGUGAAACAGAUACAUUGAGGUAGAAAAAGAGCAUACAGAGAGUGAGACAGUCAGAGUGAGACAGUCAGAGUGAGACAGGAAAAAGUGAAACAGGUACAGUGAGGUAGAAAAAGAGCAUACAGAGAGUGAGACAGUCAGAGUGAGACAGUCAGAGAGAGACGGGAAAAAGUGAAACAGGUACAGUGAGGUAGACGAAGAGCACACAGAGAGUCACAUAUGGACCGGUUUCACUGAUCGACACGGACGUAUUUCAUGAAUCUGCUCUGUAUUCAUCGUGUUUCUCAGGUCUAAGACCGUGAAGAUCGGACUUGCGUUCUCGUGAAGUCUGUGAAGAACCGGUCUUGCCCGGCUACCUUGGAAGAACGACCUUCACGCAUCUUUGCGAGAACUGAGAUGUGCUGCGCGCUUCCUGCUGCGCGGUGCACCGUCCCAGCACAUCUCUCGUAGAGGGACAGGACCGUCGUCUCUUCAUUGCUGCCGGAGUAAUAUGUUUCAGCCGCUUAACAGAUUCGCUCUUACACGGCUGAUUAACCGGAAGUUAAUUAAGACCAGUUUAAUGUAGUAAGCUCGCUGCGACCUCACGUUAACUAAAAACGAAGCUGAGGAGUUUCCCGUCUCCUCAGGGUGGACGCUAGCGUUGAUUAAUUCAAAUAUUUCGGAGAGAUAGAUUCCACUUUUCAACCAGCUCAUAUAUAUCUCAAUCUAAAUCUUAUCUCACAUGCGUUCUUUUACGAUGCAUCUUUGGAUUAUUGUCUGUAAAGAGACGUUAAAAGUGUCAUGUGACCGCCGCUUUCGUCACGGGGCAGGCUUCAGAGAGAGAGAGAGAGAGAGAGAGAGAGAGAGAGAGAGAGAGACGGAGGGUUCGAUAUAGUGAGGUAGACAAAGAGCAUCUAGAGAGUGAGACAGAAAAAGCGUGAGCUGGAUAGUGAGACAUAGAAAGAGAGUAAGGCAAAGAGUGAGACAGACAAAGAAUGAGACAGAAUGUGAGACAGACAAAGAAUGAGACAGAGAGUGAGACAGACAAAGAGCAUCUAGAGAGUGAGACAGAAAAAGAAUGAGCUGGAUAGUGAGACAUAGAAAGAGAGUAAGGCAAAGAGUGAGACAGACAAAGAAUGAGACAGAAUGUGAGACAGACAAAGAAUGAGACAGAGAGUGAGACAGACAAAGAGCAUCCAGAGAGUGAGACAGAAAAAGAAUGAGCUGGAUAGUGAGACAUAGAAAGAGAGUAAGGCAAAGAGUGAGACAGACAAAGAAUGAGACAGAGAGUGAGACAGACAAAAGAGCAUAUAGAGAGUGAGACGGAUAGUAAGACAGAGAGAGUGAGACAAAGACUGAGAGAGAAAAAAGUGAAACAUAUAGUGAGGUAGACAAAGAGCGUAUAGAGGGCGAGACAGAAAAACAGUGAGCUGGAUAAUAGACAGAGACAGAGAGACAGAGAGUGAGACAGACAAAGCACAUAGAGAGUGAGACGGAUAGAGAGAGAGAUGCAAAGAGUGAGAUAGGGAGUGAGACAGGCAAAGAAUGAGACUAAGUAUGAGGCAGAAAAGGAGCAAGAUAGAGUGAGGCAAAGAGUGAGACAGGUAUAUAUAUAGAGACAGAUGCAAAGAGUGAGACAGGGAGUGAGACGAAGUGUGAGGUAGAAAAAGAGUGAGACAAAGAAUGUGAGAGAGUGAGGUACAGCGUGAGGCACAAAAAAAAGAGAGCGGCAGAGAGUGAGACCAAAAGAGUGCAGUAGAGUGAGGCAGAAAGAGUGAGACAGAGAGCGAGACAGAAAAAAACCCUCUUUCUCUCAUCCUCGCUAACUAGCGUUUAACUGAGCAGCUAGCGUAUCAUUUACCUCCUGCCUGCUCACACGGAUGCACGUGUGCAGGUGUUUCACACGCCACACACUCAAUCUAAUCCAUUACACGACAAGAUAAACAACUUUAAACCUUCAACGGAAACAAGACCUCAGCUACGCUAAGCUAGCUGUCUUCAUCCGUGUCUGAGAGAAACUGAAGAAGACGCGCUUUUGGCUAAUGUGAGCGAGUGGUGCGGUGGAGUGUAAUCUAACGCAACGCCUCAUAAUCCGGUCAUCGGGGUUCAAAUCUAGACGACGCCUCUGUGUUGCUUCCACGCAUUUCCUUCACACCUCCAUUUACCUUCCUAAGGUUGAAGAAAAGCAUGUUGCGAGCACAUAAUCUAGUUGUGUUAGUCUAAAAAUUACCGGGCUAAUUUAAGAGCCAUUACAGCAAUAUACUAUAAUCUACUCCACUUUUACAGCCAUUAUGGAUCCAGUGUCUUAUUUCUAAACCGGUGUCUAUGAGCUUCCCUCGCUCGUUAGCCUGUACACGCCAGUCUAAAGACGUGAGAGCAAACAUCUGGCAUCGAGCUUGUACCUGUUCUUAAAUAUCAGACGAGUGGAUUAUGUUACACACGCUGCGUUAAAGUUAAGUCGAUUCAAUUUCCUGUCUAGUCCAGCCUUCAUCGUCAUUACUGUCCUCGUCGUCAUCAUCAUCAGCGUUAUCGUCAGAGAGAGAGAGAGACAGACAGAGAGAGACAGACAGAG